This is a long non-coding RNA of Dromaius novaehollandiae (emu), 632 nucleotides long. RefSeq lists it as uncharacterized. The transcript has 2 exons. Lineage: Eukaryota; Metazoa; Chordata; Aves; Casuariiformes; Dromaiidae. The record is from RefSeq and is a predicted model, not a curated record.
CCUGCUCCUGCAUCAUGAGACAGACACAGUAGGACUGAUCUGUCUUUAGUAGUCACUCCAAAUUUGUUUUGUACAUGACAAUACUCUGUAGUUACUGCAGCAGAACAUUGCAUGAAGAUGAUAUAAAUAUUGCAAUACCAUAUCAAAGCAUUUUGACUUGGCUGUUUUGUCUGGUUGGAUAACUGAAUCUCCCUUCCUUUUCUCUAAAUUGUGGACAUUCCUCCCUAAAGUGUCAUCAUUUCUGCUCCCACAGUCAACCCAGUGUCGACCCACCCACAUUACAUAUGUUUACACAGAACAAACCUUCUCUGGUUCAAUUCAUCUCCUGGAGACAUGUAACAAGAGGAACCGUGCAGCUCUUAGUUCAUGGGAUUCCCCACUUGCUCAAUAGUUUCAAGUGUAACUCCCCAAAUCGUGCAGCUUUAAGGUCUAUUGCUGGGCGCUUAUUUCUUUGUAUCAAGGCAAGUCACUGCAAUGCUUCCUAGCGCGUGUUUGGCUGCAAUCUGGAAACGUCUCUGCUUCACUGGGCUACUUUAUCUGUAUUCAUCAUUGUUUCAAAGUCUUUUUUCUCUUUGUUUAUUGAUCCCAUUAGCAUAUUUUUACAGCUGAAAACCAUCAAACAAUUACUGUGU